Molecule: long non-coding RNA, 710 nt
Organism: Onthophagus taurus
Lineage: Eukaryota; Metazoa; Arthropoda; Insecta; Coleoptera; Scarabaeidae
Source: RefSeq, a predicted model, not a curated record
ACCAAUAGCAGCAAUAGCACUAUAAUAUGGCGUCAGAUUUGGCGGGAUACCGCUAGUGUCACUUCCGCUUCCGUCACUUCUGGUUAUUCUGUGCAGUCUGAAAGUGAAAAAAAUGAAAGUGUAUGUCAAUUACGAAGUGAUAUUUAAUAUGUUUAAACAUAAAAUCCCCAUUACGGCUGCAAUAUGUGAUCUUGGAACUGUAAAUGUAAAAGCUUUUAAAGACCUAGGAUCAAGAAUUUCGACUCCAUUUUCAAUUUAUGAAGGGAAGACUAUUCACAGUAUCUUUGAUAUACCGCAGCACACGAAAUUUAUUCAAAAAAUACAAUGUACAGUUACCAUCAUUACAAGUACUCCCCUCAAUGUUAUCAGAUGAAGAAGGUUUGCAAGCUAGAUAGUCUGAUAUCCAAAAAGCGUACGAAGUAGACACUGAUACACCUCUAGUUUUUUGAAGCCUUUACAAAUUAAAAGAUUAUUACUUUUCAUCUUUACAGCACAAUGCUAUGGAAGUUAAAAUUGCAGCAUAGACACUCAACAGAAACAGUUCAAUAUAUAUUUACCAGUUAAUAAAAGCAAAAAGACAUACUUCCAGCAUGAGCAAUGGCAACUGUUGUAGAUAUAGACAACAAUAUAAACACUUAAGUUAGAGACAUUGACAUAAGUAUGUUAAGGGAGUUUUAGAGGUUAUGUUAUAAAAUAAAUGGUCAAAAUGA